Molecule: long non-coding RNA, 1045 nt
Organism: Cornus florida
Lineage: Eukaryota; Viridiplantae; Streptophyta; Magnoliopsida; Cornales; Cornaceae
Exons: 3
Source: RefSeq, a predicted model, not a curated record
UUGAAUUGAAAAUCUAUUGUAGGUUUUCAGUAAUAAUUUUUUACACAAUCUAACAUCUUAAACAACUAUAAAUUAUUGCCCAAGCAAAAAUUUUUAUUAGUAUAUAUAAUUUUAAAAAAAAAAAAAAAUGAAGUAGUAUACUCGACCCCUAAUAUUAGGGCACACGCCGUAGUAUACUGCCUCCAAUUUGGAAUUGCCAAUCGCAAGCUCCAAGUAGUCUACAAUAACACUAUCUACAUUGGAACUGCACAAAGCGGUGACAAAGCCUUGCUAUUCGUCUUCUUCUCCGUCUCUGUACUUGUCAGUAUCUGUGAUUUUGUUGGAAAUUUGUUUUGAGUGAAUGGAUCUGCUUCGAAAUAGUAGAAUUUUGGACCGGCUUCCUUUUAUUUCUACUGUCGUUUAUGAUCUACACCAGUAGAGAAUCCGAUUAGAUGCUAAGAAUUAAGAAUAAAAAAUCGAGCCAUUAUGACGUGUGAACUGUUUCUCUCAAUAAUGAUUUCGUCAGUGAGGUCACCAGAAUUCUGAAUUGCUUGGAGGGUUUGUAUGGUAUUGCUUCAAAGGUUAGAGAUCAAUAUUCUCCUUCAAAGGAUGCUGCAUUUUGCUUACCUUGCUUUCUUUUUGGAGCGAGACCAACGGGGCGCCCCGAAACCAAUGCAUUCACUAGUGAAGGAUUUUGAAGUUAGAAGAAAGUUACUAAUGGCAAUAUGUACGUGUGCUUUCUUAAAUCUUGUGGAAGGAUGUCCAUGUUCUGCUUAUAACAUUGCUGUGAGAAUAUGUAAGGACUUAAUGAAUCAACCUUGUCAUAUUGAUACAUCGAUGCUUAGACAAACUUUUGAACAAGUUUCAAAUAACUGAUUGAGAUUGAAGGUCACAAUUGAUGCAGUCCAAUGGCUUACUUAUCAAACUUGUGCUUUUAAAGGGCAUGAAGAAUCCCUUUAAUCAAGUAAUUGAGGCAAUUUCAUUGAAAUGGUAAAGGCUUUUGCGUCAUAUAAUAAUGACGUCGCUAAAAUUGUUCUUGAAAAUGCUCCAAAAAAUGCCAAGUAUA